CGGGUCUAUAAGAGAGGCAGGAGUACACUUCACAUCCAUCAUUGGCAGUACACGGGUAGCAGAGAGCAAGAUUUCUGAGAGGCAGGAGUUCCCAGAGCGGAGGCUGAAGUUUAUUGUUCUCGGCGACGAUGUCCCUGUUGGACCAGAGGGGCGAUGUCCGAGACUGGGCUCCGCCGGGCUGGCACUGGGAGGUGCUACCUUCCGGGACGCGCGGCUUGGUGAGGAAUCCGGGUGACGUCGUCGACCCGGAUCUUCUUUGGUGGCAGUCGCGUGGGCCACGCUUGGUGCAGAGGGAGCCGGCCCCCGAGGAGGUGGUACAUCGCCGUAUCAGGGAGGAGGACGAGCACGUCCGUCGCUACAUGUAUUUGUUGGAUAGGCAGUAUAGCAAUACCUGGUCGUUUCUUCAGAGGGUUCCUUAUCACGUGAGCUAUGACCCAGUGAGGGUUCCUUAUCUUUGGAUGCGCAGCGCCCGCGGCUCAGCACCCGAUCGAAGUUAGUUUGAGAGGUUCAUGCAUCGGAGAUGUAUUACUGAUAUUAUUAGUGAUGUAUUAGGGUUAAAUAAAAAUGGACCCGAGCUAUGUAACUAGAUUAUUCUAGAUGUAAGGGCGAGUUUGGUUCAUGGGUUAAUGUUCGAAUAUAAGUAAGGGAGUCAAUCUUUCGACGGAAAAA
Lolium perenne is the source of this 669-nucleotide long non-coding RNA. RefSeq lists it as uncharacterized. The record is from RefSeq and is a predicted model, not a curated record. Lineage: Eukaryota; Viridiplantae; Streptophyta; Magnoliopsida; Poales; Poaceae.